Molecule: long non-coding RNA, 4357 nt
Organism: Symphalangus syndactylus (siamang)
Lineage: Eukaryota; Metazoa; Chordata; Mammalia; Primates; Hylobatidae
Source: RefSeq, a predicted model, not a curated record
UUUUUUUUUUUUUGAGACGGAGUCUUGCUCUGUCACCCAGGCUGAAGUGCAGUGGCACGAUCUCGGCUCACUGCAACCUCUGCCUCCCGGGUUCAAGCGAUUCUCUUGCCUCAGCCUCCCAAGUAGCUGGAACUACAGGCACGUGCCACCACACCCGGCUAAUUUUUGUAAUUUUAGUAGAUACAGGGUUUUACCAUAUUGCUCAGGCUGGUCUCGAACUCCUGACCUCAGGUGAUCCACCCGCCUCGGCCUCCCAAAGUGCUGGAAUUACAGGCGUGAGCCACCGUGCCCAGCCCUACACAGUGCCUUGCUAGGUGCACAGUAAUCUGUUGUUGACGUGAGUUGCCCAGAAUUGAAAUUGGCUUCCAGCAAUGGAAAUUGGAGUUAGGGAAGCAGAAGAUGAAACAUACCUUACCAGCCCUGAAGUUUCUUCUUCCAAGAUAUUUGUGGUUGUGUCAGCUGAUCCAGCUGCUCUCUGUUGGAUGUUGGCAAUAAAUGUUUCACCAAAUUCCACCCACUAUUUGUAGGAGUUGGGCAGAACUGAGCUGUUAAAGCCUAGAAACUUUGAUAGUGAAUAAUAACCCAUGUGCCUUAGUUUUGAAAGCUUAAUAUGUGUUUGCACAUUUUUUAAAAAAGCUAUGAAAUAAUUUGGUUUGCUGGAACAGGUUAAGUUUUAUUUUGUUUUAAAAAAGGUUGAAAAGUAUUUUAAAUAAAAGACUAAUUGAAAUGGAAAGAUUAUAUUUUGGGAGAAGCAAGAAGAAAGUGUAUUUUAAAAUCCAGUAAUGUGCCUUUGGAAAUGUAAUGAUUAUCUUUUUUUAAUUAAAUAAGUGAAAUGAAUACUUAGAAACUAUUUGUACUAAGAUAGCUCUUCCAUUUUCAUAAUACCAUCCUUUAUUUAUGCAUGGAUUCUUACAUUUGAAGGAAGUCUUCCCUAUGUUACCAAGCAAUGGGCUGGAAAGUGUCACCCCCAUUUGCUGUGGAACUCAGGUUCAAAGAGGGCAGAGACUUGACUCCGAUCAGACAGCAAGGUGAGAACUGGAAGGCAGCAUCCCAGGCCCUGUGUGAAGGUUCAUAAUGGUUCACGGACUUAGAGCAGACAGCCACUCAGUGGGCCAGAAAGCAGGCAAGCAGCAGGUGGGCAAGUCAGAUUUUAACAUGUGAGGAAGGCCAUGACUUCUACCCCAGCCCAGCAGGAACGUUGUAGUGUAUCCAACAAUUGGUGUCAACCGUGAGUGAGACUCUGCGUGGGCACAGCGGGUGGGGGGCGGGGGGCGUGCAGGAGAGGAGAGAAGGAUGAAUCACAUGUGGUCACCAGCCUGUGAAGGCUUUUGAAGACUCCAGGAGGAGUAGAGAAGGUAACCAUCUGUUAUAACCCAGCUGAGCCCAGGCAAAGUCAUAAAUAAGCUCAACUUGCUAGUUCUUCCCCCAGGAUUAUCAUGAAGUUAACAAGACAAGAUAUAUGUGCUGAGUACUUUACAUGUUUAAAAAUUCUCUCAUAUGUGUAUAUGAAGAUUGUAUUACUCUCCUGAAAUUUUACUACCUGCACAUUUCAGUUUUCAGGAUAACACAGGCUCUCUAUGCCUCAGACUGGGCAUUUUCCCCUUCUCGGUUCCCAUGAGCCCCUUAAGAUCUGAGGAGAGGCUGGAAGCGUGGCUCAUGCCUGUAAUCCAAGUACUGGGAGGCCAAGGUGGGUGGAUCAGCUGAGGUCAGGAGUUCGAGACUAGCCAUGGCCAACAUGGUAAAACCCUGUGUCUACUAAAAAUACAAAAAUUAGCUGGGCAUGGUGGUGGCUGCCUGUAAUCCCAGCUACUCAGGAGGCUGAGGCAGGAGUAUUGCUUGAACCCGGGAGGCGGAGGUUACAGUGAGCAGAGAUCGUGCCACUGCAUUCCAGCCUGGGGGUCAAGAGCAAAACUCCACCUCAAAAAAAAAAAAAAAAAAAAGAAAAAUCUGAGGAGAGAGUUUAAUGAGGUGAGCCUGCAUGCUUGGAUUAGGAGAUGCCAGAAAUAUGAUGGAAUGCAGCAACUUGGAUGGAAACGUCCAGUGGUCUGCCCCAUGGCCUCGAGAGAGUGAGGUCUCCCCAAGAAGCCGGGAUGGGUGAUCACUUGCUGUGAGGGCAGUCAGAGCAGGCUCAUGGCCCUGGUGCAGAAGUGCAGCUUACCCCUGGGACCCCAUCACCUUCCAGGGCAUGGCCUGACCCGGGGUCAAGAACUUUGCUUCUAGGAUUUGUUUAGAGCGGGGAUUCCUGACCUGGGUGACAUGAAUGGAAUUCAGGGAUCCACGAACUUGGAGAGGAAAACAAUUACAUCUUUAUUUCCACUAACAAUCUAAAUGAAAUUGAAUAUUUCCUUUAAUGAAUAUGGGAAACACAUCACACUAGUGGUGUUUGUCACCACUAGAAACUGCAGCUAUUUUAUAUGGUGUCACUGUUAUCGCAGAUAGCUCAGCAUAACAUUUACACUUGCUACUACUUCAAAAUUGUGGAAGUUGAUAAACCAUAGAUCUUACUAGUUAGCAUAUUCAUAAGUAAGCAUGUAUUUUUCUAUAUCACGAUGUCAAAAUUAUGUUAGAAACAUUGUCUUUAUUAUUGCUUUCUUUUGUCAUCUCACGUAUUUAUGUAUUUAGAAACAUGCUGGGAAGGGGUUCACGGGCCUCAGCGGAAUGCUGAGGGCUUCAUGACACACACAAGAAAGCUCAGAAUCCCUGGUUCACUCUUGUUGAGGCUCUUAAAUUGUUAGAAAAUAGACUCCCUAAGAUGACAAGUCACAUUAUCUCUCCGCCCCACCAAGGAAGGGGUUUGUGUAGAUUUUUUUCAAAUAGUAUACGAAACCAUUUCUUUCAAGAAUGCCGCGUUUAAAGGCUCUUUUUUUAAAACAAACAAACUAUAGUGGGCUCAUUCCGCUUCCUCUCUUUCUUCCUCUUUUCCUCUCGCAACCGAAACACAGGUGUGCAGCAUGCAGUUUCCUGAGGGUGGGGAGGAAGGACCACCCACAGUGUGGCCUGCCUGGCCUGGGGUUUUCUGGGAGCAAAGGGUGUUUAACCCUUUCAUUGCAAAGAAGCAAGAGAAAGGGCAGUGGCAGGGUGAGGUCUGUGCAGGUGCCCCCUGCCCUUUCGUCUGGGUAAACAGAACCCAUCUUCAUGGCUGUGUAAACGCUGGAGAGCCUUCGUUCCCUCUCGUUGUUCAUGCUUGCUUCAGUCCCUUUUAGCCACCGAGAAAUAUUGGGAAGAAAAGAACCCUCAGUGUAGUUAAAGAGAUUAAAACCCGUUCACAAGAGAGAAUAGAAUAUUGACAGUGCCAUCUUAAAUUUGAAGCAGCGAUUCUUUCCAAGCUCCUCAUGGGCUGAGGGCUUGUAUCACAUCCAUUUCCAUUGAAAGUUGACAAAAACAAGAUCGUAUUGCAGAAUGUCUUCUUGGCUCUCACAAGUUAAAUUCCUAACAAUGUGAUGUGCCAUUAUAUGAUAAAAGUUACCAGUGUCUACCCGGUUUGUGCCUGAAAAUCCACUGCUUAUUACUACUGAUUUAUGGGUUUGUUUUUCACCAAUGAAUUGAAAACAUGCAUUUUUUUCCACCUCUGCUCAUACUGACACUUCGCUGGAGGACAGGAAGUCACGCUGUGCGUGCAUGGAUUUGCCGUCAUGCAGUGUGUGCUCAGAGGGAGUCCUCAGAGCUGUACCCAGAGCGGGAAGCACGUCAUUCAUUCACCCUACUUAAGAAAUAUCCAUUGACGGUUGAUUAUAUGCGGGCUCCGUGCUCGGGAGCUCUGGGAGACAGUCGUGAAUGUGAUCAACAUGGCUCUGCCUGCAAAGAGCUCAGAGAUACCCACCGAGGAGCACAGGUGGAUUAGGAGGCACCGGUGGUACAGGGAGGCUCCACAUUUCAGCUUCCUGUCAGUCACUCCUGAGUGUCUCAACAGCCCCUGGAAGUCAGGAUGGAGGGAGGGGCUACACAUUCCAAGAAGGAGAGGCAGCGUUGGCCCACAGAGCGGCCUUGGUCUCAGACCUUGGACUUAGAGGACUGGAGCUUGUGGACAGACCCAUGUUGUCCAACCUCUCACCCUGAAUGCAGAAAGCCAGAAUGCAGAUUUGUUCAUUUUCAACAGAUGACUGCAGGACCAGCGUUGUCACAGGGGCCAGCAUUCUUUCACCAGGCAAAGCCAGCUGCUUCUCUGCCUGGUAUCAAGCUGCUUGGGCAGCCAAUUCAUAAUCAGAGUGCCAAUUUAUAAGUGUAGAAUGAGAAAUAGAACUGCCACAGGAAGGAGAAUCACUGCCUGGUCGGCCCUGUGGGACUUUCUGGAGACUUCUGUCAAAUAUGCUUGUGUAAGAGUGGGAGCCAUGAAUAAAUGCACGUUUUUGUUUGUUUA